This 605-nucleotide ribosomal RNA is filed under the name Micrometula hyalostriata. RNAcentral describes it as "bacterial SSU rRNA". It matches the Rfam family "Eukaryotic small subunit ribosomal RNA", at positions 1220 to 1547 of the family's 1831-position model. The record is from RNAcentral. Lineage: Eukaryota; Foraminifera; Allogromiidae.
GGGUCCGGACACACUGAGGAUUGACAGGCAAAAGAUACAAGUUUUCUUUGUGAGAGCUUGCAUUGUAAAAUAUGCGAGUCCUUUCAUGAUUAUGUGAUAGGUGGUGCAUGGCCGUUCUUAGUUCGUGGAGUGAUCUGUCUGCUUAAUUGCGUUUCACAACGAUUUAAAAUGCUAUGUUUUCUGUGUUUGCUGUUCGGUUUUAGCUCUUACGGGAGUUUUUAACUUUGAACGCACACGGCGUAGCUUAAAACAAUCGGAAAGCAACGAACGUGACCGCAACCUCUUAUUGCCUUUAUUUUUAAAAGCGUGGAAAAUUUUAUUUUCCUACGCUUGAAAAAGGCUUUAAAACUAGAGGGACCGCUGUUCUAUUCUCUUAAACCAGAGGAAGAUUGCGGCAAUAACAGGUCUGUGAUGCCCUCAGAUGUUCCGGGCUGCACACGUGCUACAAUGAUUGUUGCAGUGAGCAUCUAUUUUCAAACGCUACCGUUGCGGAUUUUGUGAGAAGGGGGAUUUGUUUUAAAGCUUCGGCAGAGAAGCAGGUUCUUUUUUUUCACAAUUUAUUCCGCGUUACGUGUCAGCUAAACCUGCUUCGAAAGCAAGUAGGU